CCUACGGGAGGCAGCAGUGGGGAAUAUUGCGCAAUGGUCUAAAUCCUUACUCAUCUACUCCUCUUUCUUUAUUCAUUUCUUCUUCUCUUCCCCCUCUUUCCGCCGUUAAGAACGGUCCCUGUGCUCCUCAGCAGUGAAUUGACGGUACCUGCAAAGGAAGCACCGGCUAACUCCGUUCCCGCCGCCGCGGUCCUCCGGCGGGUGCGAGCGUUCCUCGGACUUACUGGGCGUAAAGCGCUCGUAGUCGGUAGGUCAAGUCAAGGGUCAAAUCCCCGCGCUCACCGUGGGCACUGCCUUUGAAACUGGCAAACUGGAGUGUGUGAGAGGAUAGUGGAAUUCCAGGUGUAGGAGUGAAAUCCGUAGAUAUCUGGAGGAACAUCAGUGGCGAAGGCGACUAUCUGGCACAUAACUGACGCUGAGGAGCGAAAGCGUGGGUAGCAAACAGGAUUAGAGACCCCGGUAGUC
Molecule: ribosomal RNA, 465 nt
Filed under: uncultured bacterium
Lineage: Bacteria
Description: partial 16S ribosomal RNA
Rfam family: Bacterial small subunit ribosomal RNA
Source: RNAcentral